GACGAACGCUGGCGGCGUGCUUAACACAUGCAAGUCGAACGGAAAGGCCCUGCUUUUGUGGGGUGCUCGAGUGGUGAACGGGUGAGUAACACGUGAGAAACCUGCCCUUGACUUUGGGAUAACUUCAGGAAACUGGGGCUAAUACCGGAUAGGAGCUCCUGCUGCAUGGUGGGGGUUGGAAAGUUUCGGCGGUUGGGGAUGGACUCGCGGCUUAUCAGCUUGUUGGUGGGGUAGUGGCUUACCAAGGCUUUGACGGGUAGCCGGCCUGAGAGGGUGACCGGCCACAUUGGGACUGAGAUACGGCCCAGACUCCUACGGGAGGCAGCAGUGGGGAAUAUUGCACAAUGGGCGGAAGCCUGAUGCAGCAACGCCGCGUGCGGGAUGACGGCCUUCGGGUUGUAAACCGCUUUCGCCUGUGACGAAGCGUGAGUGACGGUAAUGGGUAAAGAAGCACCGGCUAACUACGUG
This 468-nucleotide ribosomal RNA is filed under the name uncultured bacterium. RNAcentral's name for it is "partial 16S ribosomal RNA". It matches the Rfam family "Bacterial small subunit ribosomal RNA", at positions 28 to 507 of the family's 1533-position model. The record is from RNAcentral.